RNAcentral lists this ribosomal RNA (294 nucleotides) under uncultured bacterium. RNAcentral describes it as "partial 16S ribosomal RNA". It matches the Rfam family "Bacterial small subunit ribosomal RNA", at positions 775 to 1067 of the family's 1533-position model. The record is from RNAcentral.
GGAUUAGAUACCCUGGUAGUCCACGCCGUAAACGAUGAGAACUAGGUGUUGCGGGUAUCGACCCCUGCAGUGCCAAAGCUAACGCAUUAAGUUCUCCGCCUGGGGAGUACGGUCGCAAGAUUAAAACUCAAAGGAAUUGACGGGGGCCCGCACAAGCGGUGGAGUAUGUGGUUUAAUUCGAUGCAACGCGAAGAACCUUACCUGGAUUUGACAUCCUCGGAACUUUUCAGAGAUGAAUUGGUGCCUUCGGGAACCGAGUGACAGGUGCUGCAUGGCUGUCGUCAGCUCGUGCCG